GACCGCACCGGUGGCCUAGUGGUUAGAGCGUCCAUCUCGGAUGCAGGAUGUUGUGGGUUCAAUCCCAGGCCGAGUCA
Molecule: non-coding RNA, 77 nt
Organism: Potamilus streckersoni
Lineage: Eukaryota; Metazoa; Mollusca; Bivalvia; Unionida; Unionidae
Source: the annotation of a GenBank genome assembly